UUGUGUUCUUUGCUUCUCUAUCCUCGCUUCACCCUCAUCACCACUCCGACACCACCCCUUCACCCCACAUCAACCAAAACACUCAUUCCUUCCCUUCCUCCUCUUAUAUCAGUCUCAAAAUUGACAUUAGGGUUUAGUGAUCGAAGAUGGGGGACGAUCGUGUGCUCAGAGAUCCAUCGAUAUGCUAGAUGCCGAAGCUUAUCUAGAAACAAGAAACAUCUGGUACGGCGUUUAGAUGAAAUAGAGGGAGAAAGAAAGAUAUGGAGAGAGACUAAAGGUGGGAGACGACGUAAAGGACAAGGAGGCUGACCACCAUCUUUAGAGGGAGGCUUGGCGUUGGCAUUAUCGCCAUCCACAUGCUUGGCCUGGUUGUAUUCUUGCAAACCUAGGGUUCUGCCAUGACUUCCGACGGUGGUGGAUAGGGUCAAAUCAACCACCAAAACCGGCGGUGGCUAGGGUUUUCGUGGUGUAAGGGGUUGCUGAUGAGAUUCGGAUCCCACUCAGGCAGAUUUUUGUUUAGUUUCGUGAGAGGUAUUGUACACCUCUUCUUCGUCACGAAACGCAUAAAUGCGAUAAAUAUUUCAGUUGGUGUUUUAAGUGGAGUCCAACGCAGGGCUUCGUAGAAACUCAAGGUUAAAGGCACCAAGAAGAUUGUGCUAAGGUUGUAAGUAUGUGUCCCAACAUCCAAUUAAGGUUAGCUUUUAAUCUUUUUUGAUGUUUUUUUAUUUACUUUUGUUGUUAUUAAUGUUGCCUUUUUUCAUGUUUUGUGACGAGAUGCAAACAUUUUACCAUUAGCGGAGACAAGAAGGGCAAUGAAACUUCAUAAAAAAGAUGCAAACAUUUUGGCAUUGGUGAGGAGAUGCAAACAUUUUGACAUUUGUAUACGUCUUUUCAAGAGAUUAGAGGUAAGGACGUAAGGUAACCGGAUUCAACACUGACAGCGGAAAUGUUUUAGGGUUUCCACAACACCGUGCUUUAUGAUUGUCCUACCGGAAUCUAGAUAGUGAAGUCUUCAUGCAGAGAUAUGUUUUUUAAUAGUGGUUUCUAUUGUGAUACGUAAGGUAACCGGAUUUGUUAAUGCACCACAACAAUAGUCAUAGCCAAUUGCUUCCAAUCAAGAUAACCAACCCCCAAAAUUUGAUUUUGGGUAUGGAACAUGAGAAGCUUAUUAAUUUGCUUCAGUUGAUGUGUGGAUAGUUGACGUGUGGAGGCAUGAUGGUUGAAAAAGUAAAACUCUUUUACUUUGUUAGUUUUCAUGGUACAUGUUGCUGAUGUGUCUUAAAUUACACAUUUUUUCAUGUCAAAAUAUCCUACUCAUUUUUUCAUGUCAAAAUAUCCUUAAAUUAUGCGUAUUUUAUUGCAAAUUAUUUUUAGUUGUACUUAAUCGUGUCCUUAUUGAAUUUGCAAGGCUAUGUAUCGUUUUAGGAAUGUUUAAGUUGAAAACCAGGUCAAUAGUGAAGAUGAGGGAGUCUGAAGCAAAACAAUGAAAGAAUGAAGCAGAGUGCGUGCGUUUGCAAGUCCACAGACCAUAGGCCAUAGGGAGUGCAUCAACCA
Molecule: long non-coding RNA, 1554 nt
Organism: Helianthus annuus (common sunflower)
Lineage: Eukaryota; Viridiplantae; Streptophyta; Magnoliopsida; Asterales; Asteraceae
Exons: 5
Source: RefSeq, a predicted model, not a curated record